AACGUAGGAGACAAACGUUAUCCGGAGUUACUGGGCGUAAAGGGCGCGUAGGCGGUUAGUUAAGUCUGGCGUGAAAGCUCUCGGCUAAACCGGGAGAGGUCGUUGGAUACUGGCUGACUAGAGUACGGUAGAGGCGUGUGGAAUUCCGGGUGUAGUGGUGAAAUGCGUAGAGAUCCGGAGGAACACCAGUGGCGAAGGCGACACGCUGGGCCGUACCUGACGCUAAAGCGCGACAGCAUGGGGAGCAAACGGG
This 253-nucleotide ribosomal RNA is filed under the name uncultured bacterium. RNAcentral describes it as "partial 16S ribosomal RNA". It matches the Rfam family "Bacterial small subunit ribosomal RNA", at positions 524 to 776 of the family's 1533-position model. The record is from RNAcentral.